Molecule: unclassified non-coding RNA, 252 nt
Filed under: Hevea brasiliensis (rubber tree)
Lineage: Eukaryota; Viridiplantae; Streptophyta; Magnoliopsida; Malpighiales; Euphorbiaceae
Source: RNAcentral
GAGCCAAAGGGAACUGAAAGAUAAUAGUUGUAGAUCAUAUAGGGUGUAGGGAUCCAAAUACAGCUAAAUUGUUGCAGCUUAAAAAAUGCAGACCCAACUACACAUGCACGCUAAACUGUUGCAGAAACAUGAAAUUGCUCAUCUCCAGGAACUGUAGGAAUAUUCAAGGCCUAAAAUUUACAAACCCAUGACAAAUCGAAGAGAAAUUCUUCACAAAAACUGAGAAACUAGGGCAUAAAAAGAAAGAGAUAA